Molecule: non-coding RNA, 21 nt
Filed under: Caenorhabditis elegans
Lineage: Eukaryota; Metazoa; Nematoda; Chromadorea; Rhabditida; Rhabditidae
Source: RNAcentral
UUGAGAUACAAUAUUUAAAAC